AUCCUCACUUUGACAGCACAGAUACCAAAAUUGGAACAAUACCAAGAAGAUUAGCAUGGCCCCUGAGCAAGGAUGACACGCAAAUUCGCAAAGCGUUCCAUUUUUAU
RNAcentral lists this small nuclear RNA (107 nucleotides) under Salvator merianae (Argentine black and white tegu). The record is from RNAcentral. Lineage: Eukaryota; Metazoa; Chordata; Lepidosauria; Squamata; Teiidae.